UACAGAGGGGGCAAGCGUUGUUCGGAAUUACUGGGCGUAAAGGGCGCGUAGGCGGCCUUCUAAGUCGAACGUGAAAUCCCUGGGCUCAACCCAGGAACUGCGUCCGAUACUGGAAGGCUUGAAUCCGGGAGAGGGAUGCGGAAUUCCAGGUGUAGCGGUGAAAUGCGUAGAUAACUGGAGGAACACCGGUGGCGAAGGCGGCAUCCUGGACCGGUAUUGACGCUGAGGCGCGAAAGCCAGGGGAGCAAACGGG
This 253-nucleotide ribosomal RNA is filed under the name uncultured bacterium. RNAcentral's name for it is "partial 16S ribosomal RNA". It matches the Rfam family "Bacterial small subunit ribosomal RNA", at positions 524 to 776 of the family's 1533-position model. The record is from RNAcentral.